RNAcentral lists this long non-coding RNA (310 nucleotides) under Eutrema salsugineum. Its description in RNAcentral is "long non-coding RNA (ESAL_LNC001126)". Lineage: Eukaryota; Viridiplantae; Streptophyta; Magnoliopsida; Brassicales; Brassicaceae. The record is from RNAcentral.
UGUCGUUCAAUAGGACAGUGCCAUCUGGCAAGCAACUAUUUAUGGUUUCAUUGUUUCGUAGCAGAUGGUUUUUAAUUAAACCAACCAAUGGUCUAAUCUAAUAUACCUUUGGGCAUUAAUAAAUUAUAACCUUUGGGCAUUAAUAAAUUAUAAUAAUAUAUAAAAAAAUCGUUGACAAAAAAGGAAAAAAAAAAGUAUAUAUUGUUAAGAUUCUGAAUCAAUUUGAGAAAACUGGAAAAACUAACCAUUGAUAGUUUGUAACCAAUUUCAAAUUAUGGUCAACCAUUUGAUAUAAUUAUGUCGUGCCGAC